Phascolarctos cinereus (koala) is the source of this 564-nucleotide long non-coding RNA. RefSeq lists it as uncharacterized. The record is from RefSeq and is a predicted model, not a curated record. Lineage: Eukaryota; Metazoa; Chordata; Mammalia; Diprotodontia; Phascolarctidae.
GCUGCAAACCGCACAUGGGUCUGGGGCGUCCUCCUGGGGCAGCCUGAGUGGGGCAGGCCCGGAGGCAGCGCACUCCCCAGUUGGACAGUUCUCAUUGUUAAAAAAUAAAAUUUAAUUUAAAAAAAAGGCUUUCCUGACGUCUGUUUACUUCUGCCCCUCCGCAAGCAAGAGGCAGGCUUGUCCCAAGCUUCCCGCCAAUGACAGCAGUCCCCUAGGGGAGUGGGCUGCCCCUACUUCGGGGGGAUCUUCAAGCCGAAGGUGGAGGACCCCCUCUCCAGGACGGAAUCUCAGUUUGGCAGCUGUGUGGAGCAUAACUUCAAAGAGGAGAGACUACAAGCAAUGAAACCAAGAAGGCCAUUGUUGGAAUCCAUGAGAGGUGGGGAUGUCCAGAAGAAAGCUGGUGACGUGCAACUGAUAUUCAGGGGGAAGAUGAAGUCUGAAUAUAGAGACUUGGAAGCCAUCUCCAUUAGGAAUUUCCAACAUUUUUUACCCUCCAGACCCCCUGGCUUUCAGUAAACCUUGUAUACCCUAACUCCAUAUGAAAGGAAAUAAAUUCUGGAGUUU